RNAcentral lists this ribosomal RNA (462 nucleotides) under uncultured bacterium. RNAcentral describes it as "partial 16S ribosomal RNA". It matches the Rfam family "Bacterial small subunit ribosomal RNA", at positions 29 to 507 of the family's 1533-position model. The record is from RNAcentral.
AGUGAACGCUGGCGGCGUGCCUAAUACAUGCAAGUCGAACGGAGAUUAAGUAGCUUGCUAUUUAAUCUUAGUGGCGCACGGGUGAGUAAUAUAUAGCUAACUUGCCCAUUACUAAGGGACAACAGUUGGAAACGACUGCUAAUACCUUAUACUCCGUAUCUAUAUAAGUAGAUACGGGAAAGUUUUUCGGUAAUGGAUAGGGCUAUAUCGUAUCAGCUAGUUGGUAAGGUAAUGGCUUACCAAGGCUAUGACGCGUAACUGGUCUGAGAGGAUGAUCAGUCACACUGGAACGGAGACACGGUCCAGGCUCCUACGGGAGGCAGCAGUAGGGAAUAUUGCUCAAUGGGGGAAACACUGAAGCAGCAACGCCGCGUGGAGGAUGACACUUUUCGGAGCGUAAACUCCUUUUCUUGGGAAAGAAUUAUGACGGUACCCAAGGAAUAAGCACCGGCUAACUCCGUG